RNAcentral lists this long non-coding RNA (344 nucleotides) under Physcomitrium patens. RNAcentral's name for it is "long non-coding RNA (PPAT_LNC014377)". Lineage: Eukaryota; Viridiplantae; Streptophyta; Bryopsida; Funariales; Funariaceae. The record is from RNAcentral.
AAGUAUGAAUGAAAUAAAAUUUAGGAUGUAUAAGUGUAAGUGUGAACAUGAUACAAUUUAGGACCUAGAAGUACAAGUGUCAAUAGGAUGCGAUUUAGGAUCUACAAGUGCUAGUGUGAAUGGGGUGUAAUUUAGAGUCUACAAAUGCAAGUCUGAACGAGGUGUGGUUUAGAAUCUACAAAUGCAAGUGUGAACAUAAUAUAAUUUAGGGUCUAUAAAUGUGAGCGUGAACAAUGUGUUGUUUAGGGUCCAUGAUAUAUGAUUAAAUUUUAGAAAUUAUAAUUGUAAAUAGGGUGCGGUUUAAAAUUUGAAUGUGCAAGUAUAAACAGGGUUUAAGGGAUUUA